AUGGGCCUGGGGCCCGCAGGUCCUCAGCGUCCCGCCCCAAGGCAUGCGCGCGCACCGCCCUGCCCGAGCCGGGCUCCCGGGGCGCGUGGCCGCGGUUUCCUCCCCAGCUACCCGAGGGGGCUUCCGGGGGCACAGGAAGGUCCCGCCCCGUCCGGGCGGGGCCAGCGCACCGACGUGGCGCCCUCCACAGCUCCGCUCGCCGGGGACGGCCGGGAGGGAGGAGUGGCAGCGGCCAGGCAGCCCAGUUUCGCCAAGGCUCUUGGCGCGCCGCGGCCCGCAGGCACCCAGCACGCGCCUUCCCCGCCGCCAGGAUGCCCAAGAGGAAGGUCAGCUCCGCCGAAGGGGCCGCCAAGGAAGAGCCCAAGAGGAGAUCGGGGCGGUUGUCAGCUAAACCUCCUGCAAAAGUGGAAGCGAGGCCGAAAAAGGCAGCAGCGAAGGAUAAAUCUUCAGACAAAAAAGUGCAAACAAAAGGGAAAAGGGGAGCAAAGGGAAAACAGGCUUAAGUGUGUAACCAAGAAACUAAAGAAGAUUUACCUGCAGAAAACCGGGAAACGAAAACUGAGGAGCGUCCAGCCUCUGAUGAAGCAGGAGAGAAAGAAGCCAAGUCUGAUUAAUACCAUAUACCAUGUCUUACCAGUGGUCCAUGUCUCCCUUCUUGUACAACCCAGAGGAAUAUUUUUAUCAACUAUUGUGUAAAUGCAAGUUUUUUAGUAGCUCUAGAAACAUUUUUAAGAAGGAGGGAAUCCCACCUCAUCCCAUUUUUUAAGUGUAAAUGCUUUUUUUUUAAGAGGUGAAAUCAUUUGCUGGUUGCUAAUUUUUUGGUACAACCAGAAAAUAGUGUGGGAUGUUGAAUUAUGGGAGGCUUUGACUGUCUCGGUGUCAGCUUAACUUUCCAUAGAUGGGGGGUUAGUUUUUAUCCUAGAAUACAAAGCAUAUUAAAUGGCAAUAUGGAGUCAGUCCUGCAUUUAAUGUCUUGAACAUUUUAUUUUACUUCUAUUCUCAUGUUUUUUAGUAGAAUUGUUUCCUAAAGAAAACCGCUCCUUGAUCAUGGCGCUCCCUGUCGGAAUUGUGUGCACUCUGUAACAUCUUUGGUUGUGGUAGUCCUGUUUGCCUAAUAACUUUGUUACUGUGCUGUGAAAGAUUACAGAUUUGAAUAUGUAGUGUACAUGCUAUUCAGUUGUGAACUGGUGGGCCGUAUGUAACAGCUGACCAACAUGUGAAGAAAUUGGUACUUGAUAGCCUCUUAAGGAAAAUUUGCUUCCAAAUUUUAAGCUGGAAAGUCAUUGGAGUAACUUUAAAAAAGAAUUACAAUACAUGGCUUUUUGGAAUGUCGUUACAUAUGUUAAGAAUUGUGUACAAAUUGAAAUGUCUGUACUGAUCCUCAACCAAUGAAAUCUCAAUUAUGAAAAAAAAAAAAAAAUAGGAGGGAUUGCACACCCUGCCUUGCUGCUGAGGAGGGGCGUUUCCUUCUCUUCUUGGGUAGGCUUGGCCAAGAUCAAGGUCAUUUUUGGCUGUGCUGGGGAGGAGGGCAGGCGGUGGGUCACCCUUUUUGAGUGUGCUCAAGGCGUUAAUAGGUCCCCAGAGGAAGCAGUCCUGCUCUGAGCCAGAUUCCACCGUUCCCCUCCUGAAUCAGGUCGGUGGCCAGCCUGAGUGGGAAGCAGGGUGGGCUGCUGUGUCCAGACAGGGGGUUGGCCUCAUUCCCUGCAGUUCUGAGGAGCCAGGGACACCUGUGGGCCUGGGCGAAGUUCAUUUGGGCUCCUUGCACCCGUUCAGAAUGGCGAAUGAAGAGAGUCCUGGGCUCACCUGUACUUAACUGGCUCUGUGAUUCCCCUCUUAAUGGGCCAGUCACUUGACCUCUCUUGAGCUGUGGAUUAUUCACCUGCAGCGGGUGAACAUUCUGCCUUAACCAACUUUUCAAAGAGUGGCUGUGGGAAGGCACAUAAGGCAGUGCUUAUAGAAGGCCCUGGUGGGGCCGGGCACAGUGUAAUCCACACUUUUGGAGGCCAAGGCACGUGGAUCCCUUGAGGUCAGGAGUU
RNA transcript from Cercocebus atys (sooty mangabey), 2036 nucleotides. RefSeq lists it as uncharacterized. The transcript is spliced from 2 exons. The record is from RefSeq and is a predicted model, not a curated record. Lineage: Eukaryota; Metazoa; Chordata; Mammalia; Primates; Cercopithecidae.